CCAGAAACCAAGAUGGCCGCCAGCACAUGUCAAACGAAGGAGAACAGUGAGAAGAUGUGCCGUGGAAAGUUCCAUCUAGUACAGGACGCUGCCAACGCUUCAUCCUCCAGUCCACUACACAGGACACCGUCUGCGCUAUAGGACGCAUGGCACUCGUCAGCCGUCUCACGAGGAACGUGCCAGAUCUGCUUCAUUCCCUGGACCUCAGUCAGGCCUGAUCCUAAUGGAGACAUGAACCCAUAUUGUUCCAAUUGAUAAAGGGGAUAUUCACACAUGGAGGCGCUGAUGCAUUUUUGAACCCCCCCCCCCCAGU
Bufo gargarizans (Asiatic toad) is the source of this 313-nucleotide long non-coding RNA. RefSeq lists it as uncharacterized. NCBI's taxonomy places the organism in Eukaryota, Metazoa, Chordata, Amphibia, Anura, Bufonidae. The record is from RefSeq and is a predicted model, not a curated record. The transcript has 3 exons.